UAGGGAAUCUUCCGCAAUGGACGAAAGUCUGACGGAGCAACGCCGCGUGAGCGAAGAAGGCCUUCGGGUCGUAAAGCUCUGUUGUUAGGGAAGAACAAGUACGAGAGUAACUGCUCGUACCUUGACGGUACCUAACCAGAAAGCCACGGCUAACUACGUG
This 160-nucleotide ribosomal RNA is filed under the name uncultured bacterium. RNAcentral describes it as "partial 16S ribosomal RNA". It matches the Rfam family "Bacterial small subunit ribosomal RNA", at positions 355 to 507 of the family's 1533-position model. The record is from RNAcentral. RNAcentral also lists the same sequence under 1 other name.